GGUGCUGAAAAGACAACUCUAUGGGCAGCUGAGUUCUGCCUCCUGGGUUGACUACACUGCAGCAAGUGGAAUCUGAAUUCCUCAAGUCUGUGAAAAGACCCGGGAAUUCACCAGACACUUAUGAGGGAAGUUCGGUAUCAGGUGCUCUGCUAGACAUGUGGUAAACAUAUGAUGAAGAGCACAGUCCCUGCGGUAUGAAAAUGAGGGCCCAGCACUUGGAACAGAACUGAGAGGGCCUCAGCCUUGACUCAAACGGAACCCAGCAACAUCUAACUGAAAACUAAACCCAGUGCAAGAAAUUCAUCCUAAUGUGUUUUGCCAUCAACAGGAAAAGACAUUUGGAUGAGUGGCUACAAAUGGGAAUGUCCCCAGUCAGAGAUCCCAGAAGAGUGUAGGACUGGUUGUCAAGGGCCUUCCUAGAAUUAAGACUGCACUCCUUCCAGUGAGGACAAUCAAGGGUGAGCAACUGUCAACAACGAGAGGGAGCAACGUGGGUGACUAGAAAGGCUGCCCUCUCAGAACACAGGAAACCCUGCACACGGUGUCCCCCCAGUUCUGAGAGGGCACGUGAGAGACAACUCUAACCUUGAUAUUUGUCUAAUCCUGUAGAGGUAAGGGGCAGAUAACUCCUGACAUGGCUGAUCUAUCUUGCCUUCUUGAAAAAUGUCCCCUCUCUAUAGUGACCUGCAGAGGGGGAUCAAGCCCUUUCUCUGCAGGUGCCCAGCACAUGCUCACAUGUACUGAUGACAGCUGGAAAGCUGGUCAGGGGACCUGGCAUCUUGGCUAUCUGCCCGCUUUUGUUGAAACCCCUUGACGUGUCAGCUGGACUCAGCAGUUGAUGUUUUCACGCAGUGUAAUACACAGCCUCAGAGACUCUGCCAUUUAUUUAUUUGUUACUUUUCCACAGCCACCUGCUCCUGGGUGGGUCUGCGGCUCUGCCAUGCACUUUCUGGAAUCUCCAGUCCUCCCCAUACCUUGUCUCUUUUGACCACACCACCAGCUUUCACCCUCCUCCUCACAGCCUCACCCCAACCUUCUGGGCCCCAUCUUUGACUCCAGGGUGUCCGAUCUCAAGGUUUUCUGUCCUGGUUGCUGCUUGUGCAAGGCUUCCAGAGGGCCAUCAGGCAGGGUCAUCCAAGGAAGGGUCUCAUCUUCCAGGGAAGUUGAGGGUUCAGGUCUUCUCUGACCAGCCACUACCACAAAUGUAUGCAUCAGUCUCCUUUCCAGGACCACCGUGCCCACAUUUUCCCUGCCAGGAAGGAAGGAGAACAAAAGGAAGUACAGUUAGUGACAUGAUGGAGGGACAUACGAGGACGCCACCAAGAAACAUGAGGAUUCAGCUUCUUUCCUGGCUCGUCAGUAGUGGCACUGUGUCACCCCAUCCCCCAUCAGAACCUUAAUCCUGGGCUCCCCAGUUUGCUCAGACCAUCCUCCCACCACCCACUUGGACCCAACAACUCACCAGCAGCUACUAGACAUGUGGCCUGAAGCCAUUUCUGCAUGACUUGUCUUUCUACACUGCUGUCCUUAAUUCUCUACCUUGAAUAGUCCCUUAAUCCCCCGAGAAUCAAGUCCAAGCAAUCUGCUUGCCUUCCAGACUGCCAAAGUGCUGCCUUCCAUAAUCCACCCAGCUGGUCUCCCUCUAACACUUCUGGUCAUCUACUUAUACCUCAGGGGGACAUAUCUGAUCCUCAACAGGAAUUCAAGUAAGGAAUAACCCUCCUUCCCUGGAAGAGUCCUUGCAACGGCCUGACUCCUCCCUUAUCCCACUCCCCAGAGUGCUUCUGUUUCCCAUGCCUACCUUCCUCAGUUCUCCCCUCCAGACCCAGUGAAACCCCACCACCCACAUGAGCCUCUCCCACCAUCCCCAGGAUGAGUGAUCUCUCCCCUCUUCUCUGAUUUCCUGCCGCUCUACUGUGUGUUCAUUCUCAUGACACAGUGUGGUUGGUUUCUAUUGGAAAGUGAGUGAAAUAUUCAGCUCAAAGUGUCAGGUGCCUGCCUCUACCAGGCCCUGGGUACGGAACUCCUCAUUUGUCAACCCUGAGGAGAUGCGUGUGUCUCUGUCACUAGCAUAGAGCACUUUAAGAGCAGGCCUGUGGUUAUCUAAACACAAACCAACCAACAUCACCUGCAGCUCUGUUUCUGCAUGUGUGAAAACGGGCAUGACAAUGACAUGGUUGUUCCAAGUGUGUAGAGCUAGCCCAAGAUCCAGGUGUUUGUGAAACUGCUUUGGGAAAAGUGAAGAAUCACAAGAACUCCAGGUGAUGUUAUUAUCAUGCCUAUGCCAUGGAGUCCUGCAGGAUGAAGAUAUCUAAUACUUGUAAUUUCAAUUAAUUGGGAGCCUGCCCAAGGGUCCCACAUCUGGAGGGACCUCACUGAAGCAUGAAUUGAAGGCAAGAGCAGAGGGCCUGCGAGGACUAAGAGUCGCUGACCUUCUAGCCAUGAAAGGACAAGGAUGUCACCCUGUGCUUUCAACUGGCCUCACCACUAGGCAGCAGCUCCUACACAGAGGUUACAAACAAACAGGAGCCAGGCACAGUGGUAAAAGCCUGUAAUCCUAGAGGUUCUGGAGGCUUGGGAGGCUGAGGCUGCCUCAGCAACAGCGAGGCACCAAGCAACUCAGUGAGACCCUGUCUCUAAAUAAAAUACAAAAUAGGGAUGAGGAUGUGGCUCAGUGGUUGAGUGAGUCCAAUCUCCAGUACCAAUAAAACAGAAAAGAAAGAAAAAAAAAGAUGGAUGGGGGAGGGGUCCUUCCUAAAGCCCCACAAAAAAUAACAGUAACAAAAUAAUUUUCAAAGAGGAAGGUAGAAGUGAAGUAAUAAAGAAAAUUAAAAUCAGGAGAGUAGAUGAUGGAAGGAACAGCAUUGAAUUUGGAAGGCCAAGAUUUAGGCCAUGCCAUUGAAAUAGAAGUUAAUUAACUCCAGGGAACCCACAGAUGCUCAGAGUUGGAGAUAACCCAGUACAACAGAAGCAGGGUCAAAAAAUGAUCACAGUGAGACACACCCUUCCAGCUCUCCUCCUCCAUCUCAGAAAGCCACGCUGCUACGCAUUCACUAACCUACCAAAAGAUGAGACGUUUAUUGCAGAGAAACUGGAUCAGAAGUGCUGGAGUUGGGAACAGCUGUCACUGUGUAAGACAGGCUGGUGUGGUGCACUGAAAAUAGGGGGCUUAAGGUUGUGAUGUGAGAGACCACAUGCUCAGUGGUGAGACAGUCUGCCACCUUCCUUGCUCUGCUCCCAGAACAGUAUCAGGCAGACAGUAUCUUUCCUGGAGGAAACAAAGAGCUCCAAAAGAGAAGGACCUACAGCCAUUGGUUCCCAGAAGUCCCCAGUAAGACGUCCUGAUCCAGCUUCAUCACCUUGCAGUGAGCUCACCACUCAACAAGCCCAGACUCAGAGCCACCAACCAGCUUAUUAGCACUCUACUCUUGAAAAUAAACAGGUAUCCUCGUAGGACAAAAAUCCAAGGAAAACUUCCAAUAGUUCAAAACAGAAGAGAAAAGCAGGGGAAACAGAAAAUCCCAGAAUCAGAAAAAUACUUGGAAAAUAUUCUAAAUCCCCUGAUAAAUGAGAGAACAUUUUACAUAUGAAACAAGAAUAGACUGUCUUGAAAAAAUGAACCACCCAAGAAGAAAAGAUAUUCUUAAAAAUCAUAAAAAAUACGUUAACCAAAAUUUAAAUGCCAAUUGAAGAUCUAGAAGACAAUGUGGAGGAAGACUUCCAGAAAUCAAGACAAAACUAUCAUGGAAAAGAGAAAAGAUAAAGAAACUUGAGAACCAAUCCAGGAGAUCCGAAGUCUGAUUAAUAGAGUUCUAGAUAAAGAAAAUGGGCAAAAAGAAUGGGGGAAAAAUAAUGAAAUAAUUAAAGAAAAAUGUUCAACAGUUGAAAAACAUGCAUUUCAGACCAAGAGUGCUCACUGAACAACCGUUAAAGGGGAUAAAACUAGUCCUACAAAGUCCAGGACCAUGAAAUCUAGAAAUUAGGAUGGCAUCAGAUUUUACCAAAAGCAUCACAAGGAGUUAGAAGAUAAUAGAGGUGAUUGUCAACCUAAAAUGCUAUUCUCAUCCAAGCAAGUGGUUUCCUAGUCCAGAGGUGAAGGAAAGCAUUGGAUAAAGUCAAGUUUAAGGUGAAAGUUAGCCUGGUAUGUCCACAUGAACUAGGAGGAGAUUUACAUUGCUCAGGAGACAUUUACUGAACCCCCACCCUCCUUUUGGGCAUCAAACAAUGACAAGUAUAUAAAAAAAUUAAGCAAUAAAAAGAAGAUAUUUAGCAAUUCCAUAGGAAAAUAAAGUCAUGUGAGCAAUGAAAAAUAAUUAUAGCACAGAACACUACGUGGCUCAAUGAGGAAUAAUAUUUACACAGUCAUAAUAAAGUGAACUGAAUAGUGAGCUAAUAAAUAUCAUGACAUUUA
Ictidomys tridecemlineatus (thirteen-lined ground squirrel) is the source of this 4411-nucleotide non-coding RNA. Lineage: Eukaryota; Metazoa; Chordata; Mammalia; Rodentia; Sciuridae. The record is from RefSeq and is a predicted model, not a curated record.